UACCCUGGUAGUCCACGCUGUAAACGAUGUCGAUUUAGAGGUUGUGGUCUUGAACCGUGGCUUNUGGAGCUAACGCGUUAAAUCGACCGCCUGGGGAGUACGGCCGCAAGGUUAAAACUCAAAUGAAUUGACGGGGGCCCGCACAAGCGGUGGAGCAUGUGGUUUAAUUCGAUGCAACGCGAAGAACCUUACCUACUCUUGACAUCCAGCGAAUCCUUUAGAGAUAGAGGAGUGCCUUCGGGAACGCUGAGACAGGUGCUGCAUGGCUGUCGUCAGCUCGUGUUGUGAAAUGUUGGGUUAAGUCCCGCAACGAGCGCAACCCUUAUCCUUUGUUGCCAGCACGUGAUGGUGGGAACUCAAAGGAGACUGCCGGUGAUAAACCGGAGGAAGGUGGGGAUGACGUCAAGUCAUCAUGGCCCUUACGAGUAGGGCUACACACGUGCUACAAUGGCAGAUACAAAGAGAAGCGACCUCGCGAGAGCAAGCGGAACUCAUAAAGUCUGUCGUAGUCCGGAUUGGAGUCUGCAACUCGACUCCAUGAAGUCGGAAUCGCUAGUAAUCGUAGAUCAGAAUGCUACGGUGAAUACGUUCCCGGGCCUUGUACACACCGCCCGUCACACCAUGGGAGUGGGUUGCAAAAGAAGUAGGUAGCUUAACCUUCGGGAGGGCGCUUACCACUUUGUGAUUCAUGACUGGGGUGAAGUCGUAACAAGGUAACCAAGGGCGAAUUCGCGGCC
RNAcentral lists this ribosomal RNA (737 nucleotides) under uncultured bacterium. Its description in RNAcentral is "bacterial SSU rRNA". It matches the Rfam family "Bacterial small subunit ribosomal RNA", at positions 783 to 1519 of the family's 1533-position model. The record is from RNAcentral.